UUAAGCGACUAAGCGUACACGGUGGAUGCCCUGGCAGUCAGAGGCGAUGAAGGACGUGCUAAUCUGCGAUAAGCGUCGGUGAGGUGAUAUGAACCGUUAUAACCGGCGAUUUCCGAAUGGGGAAACCCAGUGUGAUUCGUCACACUAUCAUUAACUGAAUCCAUAGGUUAAUGAGGCGAACCGGGGGAACUGAAACAUCUAAGUACCCCGAGGAAAAGAAAUCAACCGAGAUUCCCCCAGUAGCGGCGAGCGAACGGGGAGGAGCCCAGAGCCUGAAUCAGUGUGUGUGUUAGUGGAAGCGUCUGGAAAGGCGCGCGAUACAGGGUGACAGCCCCGUACACAAAAAUGCACAUACUGUGAGCUCGAUGAGUAGGGCGGGACACGUGGUAUCCUGUCUGAAUAUGGGGGGACCAUCCUCCAAGGCUAAAUACUCCUGACUGACCGAUAGUGAACCAGUACCGUGAGGGAAAGGCGAAAAGAACCCCGGCGAGGGGAGUGAAAAAGAACCUGAAACCGUGUACGUACAAGCAGUGGGAGCCUCUUAAUGGGGUGACUGCGUACCUUUUGUAUAAUGGGUCAGCGACUUAUAUUCUGUAGCAAGGUUAACCGAAUAGGGGAGCCGAAGGGAAACCGAGUCUUAACUGGGCGUUAAGUUGCAGGGUAUAGACCCGAAACCCGGUGAUCUAGCCAUGGGCAGGUUGAAGGUUGGGUAACACUAACUGGAGGACCGAACCGACUAAUGUUGAAAAAUUAGCGGAUGACUUGUGGCUGGGGGUGAAAGGCCAAUCAAACCGGGAGAUAGCUGGUUCUCCCCGAAAGCUAUUUAGGUAGCGCCUCGUGAAUUCAUCUCCGGGGGUAGAGCACUGUUUCGGCAAGGGGGUCAUCCCGACUUACCAACCCGAUGCAAACUGCGAAUACCGGAGAAUGUUAUCACGGGAGACACACGGCGGGUGCUAACGUCCGUCGUGAAGAGGGAAACAACCCAGACCGCCAGCUAAGGUCCCAAAGUCAUGGUUAAGUGGGAAACGAUGUGGGAAGGCCCAGACAGCCAGGAUGUUGGCUUAGAAGCAGCCAUCAUUUAAAGAAAGCGUAAUAGCUCACUGGUCGAGUCGGCCUGCGCGGAAGAUGUAACGGGGCUAAACCAUGCACCGAAGCUGCGGCAGCGACACUAUGUGUUGUUGGGUAGGGGAGCGUUCUGUAAGCCUGUGAAGGUGUACUGUGAGGUAUGCUGGAGGUAUCAGAAGUGCGAAUGCUGACAUAAGUAACGAUAAAGCGGGUGAAAAGCCCGCUCGCCGGAAGACCAAGGGUUCCUGUCCAACGUUAAUCGGGGCAGGGUGAGUCGACCCCUAAGGCGAGGCCGAAAGGCGUAGUCGAUGGGAAACAGGUUAAUAUUCCUGUACUUGGUGUUACUGCGAAGGGGGGACGGAGAAGGCUAUGUUGGCCGGGCGACGGUUGUCCCGGUUUAAGCGUGUAGGCUGGUUUUCCAGGCAAAUCCGGAAAAUCAAGGCUGAGGCGUGAUGACGAGGCACUACGGUGCUGAAGCGACAAAUGCCCUGCUUCCAGGAAAAGCCUCUAAGCAUCAGGUAACAUCAAAUCGUACCCCAAACCGACACAGGUGGUCAGGUAGAGAAUACCAAGGCGCUUGAGAGAACUCGGGUGAAGGAACUAGGCAAAAUGGUGCCGUAACUUCGGGAGAAGGCACGCUGAUAUGUAGGUGAAGCGACUUGCUCGUGGAGCUGAAAUCAGUCGAAGAUACCAGCUGGCUGCAACUGUUUAUUAAAAACACAGCACUGUGCAAACACGAAAGUGGACGUAUACGGUGUGACGCCUGCCCGGUGCCGGAAGGUUAAUUGAUGGGGUUAGCGGUAACGCGAAGCUCUUGAUCGAAGCCCCGGUAAACGGCGGCCGUAACUAUAACGGUCCUAAGGUAGCGAAAUUCCUUGUCGGGUAAGUUCCGACCUGCACGAAUGGCGUAAUGAUGGCCAGGCUGUCUCCACCCGAGACUCAGUGAAAUUGAACUCGCUGUGAAGAUGCAGUGUACCCGCGGCAAGACGGAAAGACCCCGUGAACCUUUACUAUAGCUUGACACUGAACAUUGAGCCUUGAUGUGUAGGAUAGGUGGGAGGCUUUGAAGUGUGGACGCCAGUCUGCAUGGAGCCGACCUUGAAAUACCACCCUUUAAUGUUUGAUGUUCUAACGUGGGCCCCUUACCGGGGUUGCGGACAGUGUCUGGUGGGUAGUUUGACUGGGGCGGUCUCCUCCUAAAGAGUAACGGAGGAGCACGAAGGUUGGCUAAUCCUGGUCGGACAUCAGGAGGUUAGUGCAAUGGCAUAAGCCAGCUUGACUGCGAGCGUGACGGCGCGAGCAGGUGCGAAAGCAGGUCAUAGUGAUCCGGUGGUUCUGAAUGGAAGGGCCAUCGCUCAACGGAUAAAAGGUACUCCGGGGAUAACAGGCUGAUACCGCCCAAGAGUUCAUAUCGACGGCGGUGUUUGGCACCUCGAUGUCGGCUCAUCACAUCCUGGGGCUGAAGUAGGUCCCAAGGGUAUGGCUGUUCGCCAUUUAAAGUGGUACGCGAGCUGGGUUUAGAACGUCGUGAGACAGUUCGGUCCCUAUCUGCCGUGGGCGCUGGAGAACUGAGGGGGGCUGCUCCUAGUACGAGAGGACCGGAGUGGACGCAUCACUGGUGUUCGGGUUGUCAUGCCAAUGGCACUGCCCGGUAGCUAAAUGCGGAAGAGAUAAGUGCUGAAAGCAUCUAAGCACGAAACUUGCCCCGAGAUGAGUUCUCCCUGACUCCUUGAGAGUCCUGAAGGAACGUUGAAGACGACGACGUUGAUAGGCCGGGUGUGUAAGCGCAGCGAUGCGUUGAGCUAACCGGUACUAAUGAACCGUGAGGCUUAACCUU
This 2902-nucleotide ribosomal RNA is filed under the name Escherichia coli HVH 141 (4-5995973). RNAcentral describes it as "bacterial LSU rRNA". It matches the Rfam family "Bacterial large subunit ribosomal RNA". Lineage: Bacteria; Pseudomonadati; Pseudomonadota; Gammaproteobacteria; Enterobacterales; Enterobacteriaceae. RNAcentral also lists the same sequence under 1 other name. The record is from RNAcentral.